CCGCCGCGCGCGGCGGGCUACGGGAGGCAGCAGUGGGGAAUAUUGCACAAUGGGCGCAAGCCUGAUGCAGCCAUGCCGCGUGUAUGAAGAAGACCUUCGGGUUGUAAAGUACUUUCAGCGGGGAGGAAGGCGUUGAGGUUAAUAACCUCAGCAAUUGACGUUACCCGCAGAAGAAGCACCGGCUAACUCCGUGCCAGCAGCCGCGGUAAUA
RNAcentral lists this ribosomal RNA (211 nucleotides) under uncultured Enterobacter sp. Its description in RNAcentral is "partial 16S ribosomal RNA". It matches the Rfam family "Bacterial small subunit ribosomal RNA", at positions 312 to 525 of the family's 1533-position model. Lineage: Bacteria; Pseudomonadati; Pseudomonadota; Gammaproteobacteria; Enterobacterales; Enterobacteriaceae. The record is from RNAcentral.